RNAcentral lists this ribosomal RNA (783 nucleotides) under Triticum aestivum (bread wheat). RNAcentral describes it as "partial small subunit ribosomal RNA". Lineage: Eukaryota; Viridiplantae; Streptophyta; Magnoliopsida; Poales; Poaceae. The record is from RNAcentral.
CCCACCUCAGGCGCCAGAUCGAGCCGGACUGGUGUCGUCAUCAAGAGCCGACCUCGACGGAGAUGAGAGGAACCCUUCUUCCUCCGUCUUCCUUCGACCUCGACCUCGGCAUGUUGACCUCGCUCCAUAACAUCUCGGUGAACCACUACUGGAUGUGGCGUCGACUAAGCACUGCACAUGGCUUGCUCGCCGGCACGCGCGUGCGUGCUUCGAUGCGCGGCGCUUCGUCGAGCUGGACGGACCGCGGCAAUCGCUGGAGCCAGAGCUGGAGGAGGCGACGAGAUGCUGCUGCUGCGGCUGUGUCCUCGGAGGCAGUUGCUGCCCCUCGCCGACCUCACCAACAUCCGGCGUCCGCCAUGAGCUCCCCGCAGGACCCCUUCUACAUCGUCCGGGAGGAGAUCCAGGGCUCGAUGGGUAAGCUGCAGACUACGUUCCAUCGCUGGAAGCAAGUUUCUUCAAACCUGAUUACUUUGUCAUCAGGCUGGCUGAUUGCAUCCAGCUCAAAUUGUUCCACAUUUCUAGCUUAAGGGUUCCACUUGCACAUGAUGGCCCCCAACUCCUUAUGGCAAGCAGUUUCUCCAGCUGACAACAAGAUUUGGAAGCUGGGAAUCUGGGGAAUGCAAAGUUGAAGAGACCUGGAGUAUCUAUACUGUGAUUGCCAUUGUAUAUGUGUUAUAUGAUGAUGUAACACAAUGAUUCUGCUAUUGUAUCUUUGUUGUAUGAUGUAUCAAACUGAUUCUGGAUGUUAUGUGAAGUACUACGUGUGUUCUCUAUCUGUUCCCA